AACGCACAUUGCGCCCUCUGGCAUUCCGGAGGGCAUGCCUGUCCGAGCGUCAUUUCUGCCCUCCAGCGCGGCUGGGUCUUGGGCGCUGUCCCCCCCGGGGACACGUCCCAAAGGCAGUGGCGACGCCGCGUCGAGUCCUCGAGCGUAUGGAGCUUGGUCACCUGCUCGGGACGGAUUCGCCGGCCUCGGUCUUCCCCGAUGGGCCUCCACAGGGCCCAUCUUUUUACGGUUGACCUCGGAUCAGGUAGGGCUACCCGCUGAACUUAA
This 267-nucleotide unclassified non-coding RNA is filed under the name uncultured fungus. RNAcentral describes it as "sequence contains ITS2". The record is from RNAcentral. Lineage: Eukaryota; Fungi.